This 492-nucleotide ribosomal RNA is filed under the name uncultured bacterium. Its description in RNAcentral is "partial 16S ribosomal RNA". It matches the Rfam family "Bacterial small subunit ribosomal RNA", at positions 29 to 507 of the family's 1533-position model. The record is from RNAcentral.
AGUGAACGCUGGCGGUAGGCCUAACACAUGCAAGUCGAACGGCAGCACAGUAAGAGCUUGCUCUUACGGGUGGCGAGUGGCGGACGGGUGAGGAAUACAUCGGAAUCUACUUUUUCGUGGGGGAUAACGUAGGGAAACUUACGCUAAUACCUCAUACGACCUACGGGUGAAAGCAGGGGAUCUUCGGACCUUGCGCGAUUGAAUGAGCCGAUGUCGGAUUAGCUAGUUGGCGGGGUAAAGGCCCACCAAGGCGACGAUCCGUAGCUGGUCUGAGAGGAUGAUCAGCCACACUGGAACUGAGACACGGUCCCGACUCCUACGGGAGGCAGCAGUGGGGAAUAUUGGACAAUGGGCGCAAGCCUGAUCCAGACAUACCGAGUGGGUGAAGAAGGCCUUCGGGUUGUAAAGCCCUUUUGUUGGGAAAGAAAAGCAGCAGGUUAAUACCCCGCUGUUCUGACGGUACCCAAAGAAUAAGCACCGGCUAACUUCGUG